AGUGAACGCUGGCGGUAGGCCUAACACAUGCAAGUCGAACGGCAGCACAGUAAGAGCUUGCUCUUACGGGUGGCGAGUGGCGGACGGGUGAGGAAUACAUCGGAAUCUACUUUUUCGUGGGGGAUAACGUAGGGAAACUUACGCUAAUACCGCAUACGACCUACGGUUGAAAGCAGGGGAUCUUCGGACCUUGCGCGAUUGAAUGAGCCGAUGUCGGAUUAGCUAGUUGGCGGGGUAAAGGCCCACCAAGGCGACGAUCCGUAGCUGGUCUGAGAGGAUGAUCAGCCACACUGGAACUGAGACACGGUCCAGACUCCUAAGGGAGGCAGCAGUGGGGAAUAUUGGACAAUGGGCGCAAGCCUGAUCCAGCCAUACCGCGUGGGUGAAGAAGGCCUUCGGGUUGUAAAGACCUUUUGUUGGGAAAGAAAAGCAGCAGGUUAAUACCCCGCUGUUCUGACGGUACCCAAAGAAUAAGCACCGGCUAACUUCGUG
Molecule: ribosomal RNA, 492 nt
Filed under: uncultured bacterium
Lineage: Bacteria
Description: partial 16S ribosomal RNA
Rfam family: Bacterial small subunit ribosomal RNA
Source: RNAcentral